GAACGGUAGCACAGAGAGCUUGCUCUCGGGUGACGAGUGGCGGACGGGUGAGUAUUGUCUGGGAAACUGCCUGAUGGAGGGGGAUAACUACUGGAAACGGUAGCUAAUACCGCAUAACGUCGCAAGACCAAAGAGGGGGACCUUCGGGCCUCUUGCCAUCAGAUGUGCCCAGAUGGGAUUAGCUAGUAGGUGGGGUAACGGCUCACCUAGGCGACGAUCCCUAGCUGGUCUGAGAGGAUGACCAGCCACACUGGAACUGAGACACGGUCCAGACUCCUACGGGAGGCAGCAGUGGGGAAUAUUGCACAAUGGGCGCAAGCCUGAUGCAGCCAUGCCGCGUGUAUGAAGAAGGCCUUCGGGUUGUAAAGUACUUUCAGCGGGGAGGAAGGUGUUGUGGUUAAUAACCACAGCAAUUGACGUUACCCGCAGAAGAAGCACCGGCUAACUCCGUGCCAGCAGCCGCGGUAAUACGGAGGGUGCAAGCGUUAAUCGGAAUUACUGGGCGUAAAGCGCACGCAGGCGGUCUGUCAAGUCGGAUGUGAAAUCCCCGGGCUCAACCUGGGAACUGCAUUCGAAACUGGCAGGCUGGAGUCUUGUAGAGGGGGGUAGAAUUCCAGGUGUAGCGGUGAAAUGCGUAGAGAUCUGGAGGAAUACCGGUGGCGAAGGCGGCCCCCUGGACAAAGACUGACGCUCAGGUGCGAAAGCGUGGGGAGCAAACAGGAUUAGAUACCCUGGUAGUCCACGCCGUAAACGAUGUCGAUUUGGAGGUUGUGCCCUUGAGGCGUGGCUUCCGGAGCUAACGCGUUAAAUCGACCGCCUGGGGAGUACGGCCGCAAGGUUAAAACUCAAAUGAAUUGACGGGGGCCCGCACAAGCGGUGGAGCAUGUGGUUUAAUUCGAUGCAACGCGAAGAACCUUACCUGGUCUUGACAUCCACAGAACUUUCCAGAGAUGGAUUGGUGCCUUCGGGAACUGUGAGACAGGUGCUGCAUGGCUGUCGUCAGCUCGUGUUGUGAAAUGUUGGGUUAAG
Molecule: ribosomal RNA, 1029 nt
Filed under: Enterobacter cloacae
Lineage: Bacteria; Pseudomonadati; Pseudomonadota; Gammaproteobacteria; Enterobacterales; Enterobacteriaceae
Description: bacterial SSU rRNA
Rfam family: Bacterial small subunit ribosomal RNA
Source: RNAcentral